RNAcentral lists this ribosomal RNA (230 nucleotides) under uncultured bacterium. RNAcentral's name for it is "partial 16S ribosomal RNA". It matches the Rfam family "Bacterial small subunit ribosomal RNA", at positions 15 to 237 of the family's 1533-position model. The record is from RNAcentral.
GAUCAUGGCUCAGGAUGAACGCUAGCUACAGGCUUAACACAUGCAAGUCGAGGGGCAGCAUGAUUGAAGCUUGCUUCAAUUGAUGGCGACCGGCGCACGGGUGAGUAACACGUAUCCAACCUGCCGAUAACUCUGGGAUAGCCUUUCGAAAGAAAGAUCAAUACCCGAUAGUAUAGUAUUUCCGCAUGGUUUCACUAUUAAAGAAUUUCGGUUAUCGAUGGGGAUGCGUU